This 1631-nucleotide long non-coding RNA is filed under the name Nicotiana tabacum (common tobacco). RNAcentral describes it as "long non-coding RNA (NTAB_LNC002031)". Lineage: Eukaryota; Viridiplantae; Streptophyta; Magnoliopsida; Solanales; Solanaceae. The record is from RNAcentral.
CGCAUUUCUUCUCCUUUUCCAGCUCAUGUGGGAUGUAAGUUUCAAAUGGACCAGCAUUUUAUAACUAAUAAAACCUCCAACCACUCAUAAUUAUAGACUUACAAUUAAUUGAGGAUUAGUCGCCAGUCAACUUGGAAGCAUAAAAAAAGAUGCAACAACUGAAUUGUUGAUCAAGAAACAUUGCAUUUUCUUGGUUGUUAAGACACUCGUGGUUCCCAUCUAUAAAAAGAAGACAAAAAUUCAAGAAUCAAAACCCACCACAUAAAUUUCCUUUCCUUAAACAUAGUAAAGUAAUAAUCCAGACAACUUAAUUAUUGAGAUGGCAGAAGUGAAGUUGCUUGGUGUUUCACUCAGUCCUUUUAGUCGCAGAGUUGAGUGGGCUCUGAAGAUUAAGGGUGUGGAAUAUGAAUUUAUAGAAGAAGACCUACAAAACAAGAGCCCUCUGCUUCUUCAAUCCAAUCCUGUUCACCAAAAAAUCCCAGUGCUAAUUCACAAUGGAAAACCCAUUUCUGAGUCUAUGAUCAUUCUUGAAUACAUUGAUGAAACAUUUGAAGGCCCUUCCAUUUUGCCUAAAGACCCUUAUGACCGAGCUUUAGCUCGUUUCUGGGCUAAUUUCCUUGAUGUUAAGGUAAGGUUGAAUUUGCUUUUGCUCAAUUUAACUUGUCCUUUUUCUUUUAAAUAUCGCCUUUAAUUGUUAAUUUGAACCUCUGCUACGUCAAUCUUUAAGGUCUGUGUAUAAAUAACUUCUCCCUGGACCUCAACCGUAAAAUUACACUAAGGUUGUUAUUGUUAUUGUUGCUAUGUCAAUAUUUUUUUUUUCAUUUUUCUUGCUCUUGCCUUCUUUCAAUUGGAAAUUAUGGUCGUGCUAUUACCGGUGGCAAAGCCGCAGGUUGAAUCAAAUUUGGGCUGGUCAAAACAUAACAACAACAACAACAAUAUAUUCCCACAAGGGUCUAGUCAAAACAUGUCAAGAUAAUAUAUAGCUUAGGCAAAUUGGGCGGGUUACAAGUAAAUUUAUAUAAUUCUCAAUCUCAAUUUUGAUUUUGUAUGCUUAGCUUUGGGUUGGAUUUUAAGACGUGGUGGGGAUACAUUGUUUUAACCCAUAUCGAUUCAACCUGUUCUAUCAAGUCAAUAAAUAAGUCAUAACCCAACCUGUUUAAGUUUGGACGAAUUACAAAUAAAUGGAUUGGUUUGGACCUCUAAUCGGGCAAUACAUACCAAUUUGCAGAAUAUAUUUGAUAAAAGUAGAAAUGUUUAGAACUCAAGAUUUGAGCUUUUUGCAGUGCAUAACUACAAUUGGAAAAGCUUUAUUUGGCAAAGGAGAGGAGUCAGACAAAGCUAAGGAGGAGUCUAGUGAACUGCUAAAGAUUCUUGAUAAUGAGCUCAAGGACAAAAAAUUCUUUGUAGGAGACAACUUUGGAUUUGCUGAUAUAGCUGCUAAUUUGAUGGCAUUUUGGCUGGGAAUUCUUGAAGAAGCCUCUGGAGUAAUUUUGGUGACAAGUGAAAAAUUUCCCAAUUUUUGUGCUUGGAAAGAUGAGUAUAUUAACUGCAGCCAAGUUAAGGAAUAUUUACCUUCAAGGGAUGUGUUACUUGCCCAUUUUCAAACUCGCUUUCAAACUGCAGCAGCUCCC